AGAGUUUGAUCCUGGCUCAGGAUGAACGCUGGCGGCGUGCCUAACACAUGCAAGUCGAGCGAGAUUUAGUGUAGUGGAGACUUCGGUCAAAGUGAAACUGAUGAAAGCGGCGGACGGGUGAGUAACGCGUGGGCAACCUGCCCCAUACAAAGGGAUAGCCACUGGAAACGGUGAUUAAUACCUUAUAAGUCGGUAGUCUCGCAUGAGACAGCCGACAAAGAUUUAUCGGUAUGGGAUGGGCCCGCGUUUGAUUAGCUAGUUGGUGAGGUAACGGCUCACCAAGGCGACGAUCAAUAGCCGACCUGAGAGGGUGAUCGGCCACACUGGAACUGAGACACGGUCCAGACUCCUACGGGAGGCAGCAGUGGGGAAUAUUGCACAAUGGGCGCAAGCCUGAUGCAGCAACGCCGCGUGAGUGAUGAAGGCCUUCGGGUCGUAAAACUCUGUCCUAUGGGAAGAAAAAAAUGACGGUACCAUAGGAGGAAGCCCCGGCUAACUACGUGCCAGCAGCCGCGGUAAUACGUAGGGGGCAAGCGUUAUCCGGAAUCACUGGGCGUAAAGGGUGCGUAGGUGGCUCAUCAAGCCAGAGGUGAAAGGCAUUGGCUCAACCAAUGUAAGCCUUUGGAACUGACGAGCUUGAGUGCAGGAGAGGUAAGUGGAAUUCCUAGUGUAGAGGUGAAAUUCGUAGAUAUUAGGAGGAACACCAGUGGCGAAGGCGACUUACUGGACUGUAACUGACACUGAGGCACGAAAGCGUGGGGAGCGAACAGGAUUAGAUACCCUGGUAGUCC
This 791-nucleotide ribosomal RNA is filed under the name uncultured bacterium. RNAcentral describes it as "bacterial SSU rRNA". It matches the Rfam family "Bacterial small subunit ribosomal RNA", at positions 8 to 796 of the family's 1533-position model. The record is from RNAcentral.